ACAUCAUCAAGCUUGUGACUAUCCGCUGAACGAAGGUACUGACUGCGAGAAAUAUGCAGGUCUUUACCUAAGAAGUUAAGGCAAGGACAAGAGUGGAAGCAGGCAUUAGAAAUUGAAGCAGCUUGAUUGCAGGUCUAAUCACUCUUCGCCUUCUUCAAAGACGUUUGCCAGAAUACUUGACAUGCCAGCAGGCAAAUCUGCCAACUAUAUACAGGAUAUAUACAUAUACUGUCAUGGGUGUAUCUGUCCUGGACCCCACCUGCUCCGACGACUAGAUGCGGUCACCUGCUUCUCGUCUUGUUAAUUGCGGUCCGUUUAUAUUGCCACGCAUGUGGUCUGGUCCUUGCCAGAUCGAUGUACUUCCAUAUCACGUUCCCACAACUCCAUGACCUUGUCUUUGAUACUCUGUGUACCGAACACUGCCUUGUUGAUGACCCUGCCUCUCCACCCAUUGAUUCUGACACGGCUGCUUGUUUACACUUCCCGCCUGUGUACCAACCUUGGACGGAAAAAAUACACUUCCCGAACUGUA
This is a long non-coding RNA of Syngnathoides biaculeatus (alligator pipefish), 532 nucleotides long. RefSeq lists it as uncharacterized. The record is from RefSeq and is a predicted model, not a curated record. Lineage: Eukaryota; Metazoa; Chordata; Actinopteri; Syngnathiformes; Syngnathidae. The transcript is spliced from 2 exons.